Sardina pilchardus (European sardine) is the source of this 420-nucleotide long non-coding RNA. RefSeq lists it as uncharacterized. The record is from RefSeq and is a predicted model, not a curated record. The transcript has 3 exons. Lineage: Eukaryota; Metazoa; Chordata; Actinopteri; Clupeiformes; Clupeidae.
UAUAAUGGUAAAACAAAGAAAUUGGGAGGAAAUCACUGCAAAAGUGCAAGACGUACGGUGGUGAGGUGGUGGCUAGCUAGCUGCUACACGAAGUAGGCUACAACAAAGUUAGAAAAUCUAACGGUUAUGGCCAAGAAGGAGAUGUCCUGCCUUGGGAGUGAAUCAAAUGGAAAAGGGGGUGUCCUAGCUCCAGCUGCAAUGGUCGCUGACAUGCAUUGGACGCACCCAGUGAUGGGGAGUGCUGGUGGACAGGAUCUGCGCGUCCUAUCAGAAAGUGAGUCAGACCUUCGGCAGUGAGCCAGUCAAAGAAAUGAGUGAAGCGAUAGUGCCCGUCAUCCUGUCUAUCCUCCGCCAGCCCAGCGUAAAAGAGAGCGGAAAAGUAAGUUAGGCAUAUUGAUGCUACUGUGUUUCCUAUUAAAA